RNAcentral lists this transfer RNA (67 nucleotides) under Blattella parilis. RNAcentral describes it as "tRNA-His". Lineage: Eukaryota; Metazoa; Arthropoda; Insecta; Blattodea; Blattellidae. The record is from RNAcentral.
ACUUGAGUAGUUUAUAUAAAAUACUGAUUUGUGGUGUCGGUGAAAUAAUUUUUUAUUAUCUUAGGUC